Molecule: ribosomal RNA, 119 nt
Organism: Lepisosteus oculatus (spotted gar)
Lineage: Eukaryota; Metazoa; Chordata; Actinopteri; Semionotiformes; Lepisosteidae
Source: Ensembl
GCUAGCAGCCAUAUCACCCUGCAACUCACAACUGGCAACCCACUGAAGCUCAGCAGGUGUGAGCCUGGUCAGUACCUGGAUGGGAGACCUCCUGGGAAAAACUAAGGUUGCUGCUGGAA